RNAcentral lists this long non-coding RNA (2747 nucleotides) under Homo sapiens (human). RNAcentral describes it as "HSALNT0194077". The record is from RNAcentral. Lineage: Eukaryota; Metazoa; Chordata; Mammalia; Primates; Hominidae.
AUGGUAGUGUCUUCCAGAAAUACUCUCACAGGCACACCCAGGACAAAUGUUCUACCAGCUAUCUGGGCGUUGCUUAGGCCAGUCAAGUUGACACAUAAAAUUAACCAACGAAGUAAUUCUAACAAAGAUUUAUAACCAGAUUACACUCUUCUGAAGCUAAAGAACUGCUAAUGGAGAUAGCAGUCAUCAGUUACUGUGAUAGUUAAUGUUGAGUGUCAACUUGAUUGGAUUGAAAAAUGUGAAGUAUUGUUUCUGGGUGUGUCAGUGAGGGUGCUGCCAAAAGAGAUUAACAUUUGAGUUAGUGGACUAAGAAAGGCAGACCCACUCUCAAUCUGGGUGGGCACCAUCUAAUCGGCUGCCAACAUGGCUAGGAUAAAAGCAGGCAGAGGAAUGUGGAAGGACUAAACUGGCAGAAUCUUCUGGCCUCCAUCUUUCCCCUGUGCUGGAUGCUUCCUGCCCUCAAACAUCGGACUCCCAAGUUCUUCAGCUUUUGGACUCUUGGACUUACAUCACUGAUUUGCCAGGGGCUCUGAGGCCUUUGGCCACAGGCUGAAGGCUGCACUAUCAGCUUCCCUACUUUUAAAGUUUUGGGACUUGGAAUUGCUUCCUGGCUCCUCAGCUUGCAGACAGCCUAUUGUGGGACUUCACCUUAUGAUCAUAUGAAUAAGUGAGUGAGGAAGAAAGUGGCCCCAAAUGAAGUUGUUGUGGAAAUAGGCAGGGCUGGAUCAUUCACGGCCUUGCAGGUCAUGGUGAGGAGUUGAGAUUGAGUUGCCUUUAGAAAGGAAGCUAACUCUACAGCAGAAGCAGUGAGUCACAAGGACAAGAACCAAAUGAUAUGGACGACCCCAUCACAACAACUCAAGCUGGUGUAAACAUUCUCACAUGGCAUGAGAAUGAAACAUAAUGCAGUGCUCCCUCUCCCCAGACCUGGGUCACAUUCCUCUAUGGAUUAAAUGCAAUAGCAGUUAGGUUUUAAUUGCAUUCCUUUGAGCAAUGUCAUUUAUUUUACCUGUUGUUUACCAUUAAAUUUAUGUCCUGGAAGAUGUUGAUAAAACUACAAGAAGGAAAGUAUCCUUUUGCUAUGGUUUGAAUAGCAAACCAAAAUUUGUGUUGAAAUUUUAUCCCAAAUGUGGCAGAGAAUUAGUCCAUUCUCAUGCUGCUAAUAAGGACAUACCCAAGACUCGGUAAUUGAUAAAGGAAAGAUGUUUAAUUGACUCACAGUUCAGCAUGGUUGGGGAGGCCUCAGAAAACUUACAAUCAUGGUGGAAGGGGAACCAAACACGUCCUCCUUCACAUGGUGGCAAGAGAGACAAGUGCAGAGAAAAGGAGGGGAAAGCCCCUUAUAAAAUCAUCAACUCUCAUGAGAACUCACUCACUAUCAUCAGAACAGCAUGGAGGUAACCGCCCCCAUGAUUCAAUUACCUCCCACUAAGUCCUUCCCAUGACCCAUGGGGAUUAUAGGAUACCUGAGAACUUUGACAUGUUUCUGACAUGCCCUGAAAACAGCUGCCACAUUGCCUCAGUGAUUAACAUUCGGCUCCUCAUCACAUAUGCAAAUUUCAGCAGCCGGCUUGAAUUUCUCCCAAGAAAAUGGGUUUUUCUUUUCUGUCACAUAAUCAGGCUGCAAAUUUUCCAAACUUUUAUGCUCUGCUUCCUCUUGAACACCUUGCCACUUAGAAAUUGCUUCUGUCAGAUUCCCUAAAUCAUCUCUCUCAAGUUUAAAGUUUCACAGAUCUCUAGGGCAGGGGCAAAAUGCCGCCAGUCUCUUUGCAUAGCAAGAGUGACAUUUACUCCAGUUUCCAACAAGUUCCUCAUCUCCAUCUGAGACCACCUCAGCCUGGACUUUAUUGCCCAUAUCACUAUCAGCAUUUUAGUCAAAGCCAUUCGACAAGUCUCUAGGAAGUUCCAAACUUUCCCACUUCUUCCUGCCUUCUUAGCCCUCCAAGUCUCUAAGAGUUUCCAAACUUUCCCACAUUUUCCUGUCUUCUGAGCCCUCCAAAUGGUUUCAACCUCUGCCUGUUACCCAGUUCCAAAGUUACUUCCACAUUUUCAGGUACCUUUACAGCAGCGCCCCACUCUCUGUGGUACCAAUUUACUGUAUUAGUCCCUUCUCCCACCUCUAUAAGGACAUAUCUGAGACUGGGUAAUUUAUAAAGGAAGGAGGUUUAAUUGACUCACAGUUCCACAGGGCGGGGGAGGCCUCAAGAAACUUACAAUCAUGGUGGAAGGGGAAGCAAACACGUCCUUCUUCACAUGGCAGCAGGAGAUGUGCAGAGAGAAGUGGGGGAAAGCCCCUUCUAAAACCAUCAGAUCUCAUGAGAUCUCAUCAGAUCUCAUAAGAACUCACUCAAUAUCAUAAGAACAUGAUAUGGAGGUAACCGCUGCCAUGAUUCAAUUACCUCCCAUGGGGUUUUUUCCAUGACAUGCAGGGAUUAUGGGAGCUACAAUUCAGUAUGAGAUUUAGGUGCGGACACAGCCAAAACCAUAUCAGGCAGUAUUGAGAAGUGAAGCAUUUAAGAGGUGAUUGGGUCAUGAGGGCUCUGCCCUCAUGAAUGACUUAGUCUAUUCACAGAUUAAUGAAAUAGUGAGUUAUCAUUGGAAGGGAACUGUGGCUAUAUAGGAAAAGGAAGAAAAACCUAAGCUAGCAUGUUAGCGCACUCAGCCCCCUUGCCACGUGAUGCUCUGCACUGCCUCAGGACUCUGCAGCAUCCCCAUUAGCAAGAAAAUGUGGCAUAUAUACACCACGG